Molecule: ribosomal RNA, 492 nt
Filed under: uncultured bacterium
Lineage: Bacteria
Description: bacterial SSU rRNA
Rfam family: Bacterial small subunit ribosomal RNA
Source: RNAcentral
GAUGAACGCUGGCGGCGUGCCUAACACAUGCAAGUCGAACGAAGCUCUUACGACGGAACUCUUCGGGAGGGAAGAUGUAUUAGACUUAGUGGCGGACGGGUGAGUAACGCGUGGGUAACCUGCCGUAUACGAGGGGGACAACAGUUAGGAAACGACUGCUAAUACCGCAUAAGCGCACAGCAUCGCAUGAUGCAGUGUAGAAAAACUCCGGGUGGUAUACGAUCGGACCCGCGUCUGAUUAGCUAGUUGGUGAGGUAACGGCCCACCAAGGCGACGAUCAGUAGCCGGCCUGAGAGGGUGAUCGGCCACAUUGGGACUGAGACACGGCCCAAACUCCGUACGGGAGGCAGCAGGUGGGGAAUAGUUGGGCAAUGGGGGAAACCCUGACCCAGCAACGCCGCGUGGAGGAAGAAGGUUUUCGGAUCGUAAACUCCUGUCCUCAGGGAAGAGUAGAAGACGGUACCUGAGGAGGAAGCCCCGGCUAACUACGUG